This 303-nucleotide ribosomal RNA is filed under the name uncultured bacterium. RNAcentral's name for it is "partial 16S ribosomal RNA". It matches the Rfam family "Bacterial small subunit ribosomal RNA", at positions 507 to 808 of the family's 1533-position model. The record is from RNAcentral.
AGCAGUCGCCACGGUAAUCCGUAGGUCCCGAGCGUUGUCCGGAUUUAUUGGGCGUAAAGCGAGCGCAGGCGGUUAGAUAAGUCUGAAGUUAAAGGCUGUGGCUUAACCAUAGUACGCUUUGGAAACUGUUUAACUUGAGUGCAAGAGGGGAGAGUGGAAUUCCAUGUGUAGCGGUGAAAUGCGUAGAUAUAUGGAGGAACACCGGUGGCGAAAGCGGCUCCCUGGCUUGUAACUGACGCUGAGGCUCGAAAGCGUGGGGAGCAAACAGGAUUAGAGACCCCUGUAGUCCCUGUCUCUUAUACA